RNAcentral lists this ribosomal RNA (497 nucleotides) under uncultured bacterium. RNAcentral describes it as "partial 16S ribosomal RNA". It matches the Rfam family "Bacterial small subunit ribosomal RNA", at positions 29 to 507 of the family's 1533-position model. The record is from RNAcentral.
ACGAACGCUGGCGGCGUGCCUAAUACAUGCCAGUCGAGCGGACGAAUCGAAAGCUUGCUUUUGAUUCGUUAGCGGCGGACGGGUGAGUAACACGUGGGCAACCUGCCCUGUAGACGGGGAUAACACCGAGAAAUCGGUGCUAAUACCGGAUAACACGAAAUGUCGCAUGACGUUUCGUUGAAAGACGGCGCAAGCUGCCGCUACAGGAUGGGCCCGCGGCGCAUUAGCUAGUUGGUGAGGUAACGGCUCACCAAGGCGACGAUACGUAGCCGACCUGAGAGGGUGAUCGGCCACACUGGGACUGAGACACGGCCCAGACUCCUACGGGAGGCAACAGCAGGGAAUCUUCCGCAAUGGACGAAAGUCUGACGGAGCAACGCCGCGUGAGCGAAGAAGGCCUUCGGGUCGUAAAGCUCUGUUGUUAGGGAAGAACAAGUAACGCAGUAACUGGCGUUACCGUGACGGUACCUAACGAGAAAGCCACGGCUAACUACGUG